RNAcentral lists this ribosomal RNA (661 nucleotides) under uncultured bacterium. Its description in RNAcentral is "bacterial SSU rRNA". It matches the Rfam family "Bacterial small subunit ribosomal RNA", at positions 63 to 704 of the family's 1533-position model. The record is from RNAcentral.
CGAGCGGACUUGAUGGAGAGCUUGCUCUCCUGAUGGUUAGCGGCGGACCCGUGAGUAACACGUAGGCAACCUCCCUGCAAGACCGGGAUAACCCACGGAAACGUGAGCUAAUACCGGAUAUCUCAUUUUCUCUCCUGAGGGGAUGAUGAAAGACGGAGCAAUCUGUCACUUGCGGAUGGGCCUGCGGCGCAUUAGCUAGUUGGUGAGGUAACGGCUCACCAAGGCGACGAUGCGUAGCCGACCUGAGAGGGUGAACGGCCACACUGGGACUGAGACACGGCCCAGACUCCUACGGGAGGCAGCAGUAGGGAAUCUUCCGCAAUGGGCGAAAGCCUGACGGAGCAACGCCGCGUGAGUGAUGAAGGUUUUCGGAUCGUAAAGCUCUGUUGCCAGGGAAGAACGUCCGAUAGAGUAACUGCUAUCGGAGUGACGGUACCUGAGAAGAAAGCCCCGGCUAACUACGUGCCAGCAGCCGCGGUAAUACGUAGGGGGCAAGCGUUGUCCGGAAUUAUUGGGCGUAAAGCGCGCGCAGGCGGUCAUUUAAGUCUGGUGUUUAAGGCCAAGGCUCAACCUUGGUUCGCACUGGAAACUGGGUGACUUGAGUGCAGAAGAGGAGAGUGGAAUUCCACGUGUAGCGGUGAAAUGCGUAGAUAUGUGGAGG